This 484-nucleotide ribosomal RNA is filed under the name uncultured bacterium. RNAcentral's name for it is "partial 16S ribosomal RNA". It matches the Rfam family "Bacterial small subunit ribosomal RNA", at positions 30 to 507 of the family's 1533-position model. The record is from RNAcentral.
AUUGAACGCUGGCGGUAGGCCUAACACAUGCAAGUCGAGCGGUAGAGAGAAGCUUGCUUCUCUUGAGAGCGGCGGACGGGUGAGUAAUGCCUAGGAAUCUGCCUGGUAGUGGGGGAUAACGUUCGGAAACGGACGCUAAUACCGCAUACGUCCUACGGGAGAAAGCAGGGGACCUUCGGGCCUUGCGCUAUCAGAUGAGCCUAGGUCGGAUUAGCUAGUUGGUGGGGUAAUGGCUCACCAAGGCGACGAUCCGUAACUGGUCUGAGAGGAUGAUCAGUCACACUGGAACUGAGACACGGUCCAGACUCCUACGGGAGGCAGCAGUGGGGAAUAUUGGACAAUGGGCGAAAGCCUGAUCCAGCCAUGCCGCGUGUGUGAAGAAGGUCUUCGGAUUGUAAAGCACUUUAAGUUGGGAGGAAGGGCAGUAAAUUAAUACUUUGCUGUUUUGACGUUACCGACAGAAUAAGCACCGGCUAACUCUGUG